Molecule: ribosomal RNA, 422 nt
Filed under: uncultured bacterium
Lineage: Bacteria
Description: bacterial SSU rRNA
Rfam family: Bacterial small subunit ribosomal RNA
Source: RNAcentral
GGAAUUGUUCGCAAUGGGCGCAAGCCUGACGACGCAACGCCGCGUGGAGGAUGAAGGUCUUCGGAUUGUAAACUCCUGUUGCCAGGGACGAAUGGCUCCGACCUAACACGUCGGAGAGUGACGGUACCUGGUAAGGAAGCCCCGGCUAACUCUGUGCCAGCAGCCGCGGUAAUACAGAGGGGGCUAGCGUUGUUCGGAAUUACUGGGCGUAAAGGGCUCGUAGGCGGCCAACUAAGUCGGAUGUGAAAUCCCCAGGCUCGACCUGGGAACUGCAUCCGAUACUGGAUGGCUUGAAUCCGGGAGAGGGAUGCAGAAUUCCAGGUGUAGCGGUGAAAUGCGUAGAUAUCUGGAGGAAUACCGGUGGCGAAGGCGGCAUCCUGGACCGGCAUUGACGCUGAUGAGCGAAAGCCAGGGGAGCAAAC